RNAcentral lists this ribosomal RNA (372 nucleotides) under uncultured bacterium. RNAcentral's name for it is "bacterial SSU rRNA". It matches the Rfam family "Bacterial small subunit ribosomal RNA", at positions 10 to 384 of the family's 1533-position model. The record is from RNAcentral.
AGUUUGAUCCUGGCUCAGAUUGAACGCUGGCGGCAUGCUUUACACAUGCAAGUCGAACGGCGGCGGGGGCUUCGGCCUGCCGGCGAGUGGCGAACGGGUGAGUAAUGCAUCGGAACGUGCCCAGUCAUGGGGGAUAACUACGCGAAAGCGUAGCUAAUACCGCAUACGCCCUGAGGGGGAAAGCGGGGGAUCGCAAGACCUCGCGUGAUUGGAGCGGCCGAUGUCGGAUUAGCUAGUUGGUGGGGUAAAGGCCUACCAAGGCGACGAUCCGUAGCGGGUCUGAGAGGAUGAUCCGCCACACUGGGACUGAGACACGGCCCAGACUCCUACGGGAGGCAGCAGUGGGGAAUUUUGGACAAUGGGGGCAACCCU